Cryptomeria japonica (Japanese cedar) is the source of this 207-nucleotide long non-coding RNA. RefSeq lists it as uncharacterized. The record is from RefSeq and is a predicted model, not a curated record. The transcript is spliced from 3 exons. Lineage: Eukaryota; Viridiplantae; Streptophyta; Pinopsida; Cupressales; Cupressaceae.
AGGAGUUAGCUAGCACUACAUUUGGUGUUGAUACUGCACAAGAUACUGCUAGAGGAGAUACUGCUAGAGGAUCUGAUGAGCAUAUGGUGGAUCUGGACCACGUCCCGGGGACAAGAGAGAUACUGCUAGAGGAUCUGAUGAGCAUAUGCAUGAGACAGGUGGAUCUGGACCACGUCCCGGGGACAAGAGAGAUACUGCUAGAGGAUC